GAUGAACGCUGGCGGCGUGCCUAAUACAUGCAAGUCGAGCGAACGGACGAGAAGCUUGCUUCUCUGAUGUUAGCGGCGGACGGGUGAGUAACACGUGGAUAACCUACCUAUAAGACUGGGAUAACUUCGGGAAACCGGAGCUAAUACCGGAUAAUAUUUUGAACCGCAUGGUUCAAAAGUGAAAGACGGUCUUGCUGUCACUUAUAGAUGGAUCCGCGCUGCAUUAGCUAGUUGGUAAGGUAACGGCUUACCAAGGCAACGAUGCAUAGCCGACCUGAGAGGGAGGUCGGCCAGACUGGAACUGAGACACGGUCCAGACUCCUACGGGAGGCAGCAGUAGGGACUCUUCCGCAAUGGGCGAAAGCCUGACGGAGCAACGCCGCGUGAGUGAUGAAGGUCUUAGGAUCGUAAAACUCUGUUAUUAGGGAAGAACAUAUGUGUAAGUAACUGUGCACAUCUUGACGGUACCUAAUCAGAAAGCCACGGCUAACUACGUG
Molecule: ribosomal RNA, 497 nt
Filed under: uncultured bacterium
Lineage: Bacteria
Description: partial 16S ribosomal RNA
Rfam family: Bacterial small subunit ribosomal RNA
Source: RNAcentral